This 861-nucleotide ribosomal RNA is filed under the name Dehalococcoidia bacterium. RNAcentral describes it as "partial 23S ribosomal RNA". It matches the Rfam family "Bacterial large subunit ribosomal RNA", at positions 1 to 813 of the family's 2925-position model. The record is from RNAcentral. Lineage: Bacteria; Bacillati; Chloroflexota; Dehalococcoidia.
GGUCAAGCGGGAUAAGGCGCAUGGUGGAUGCCUUGGCAUCAAGGGCCGACGAAGGGCGUAGCAAGGCUGCGAAAAGCCUCGGUCAGCUGCCGAGCAAGCUUAGCCGGGGAUACCCGAAUGGGGCAACCCGUCCUUCCUUAAAGAAGGACACCCCCAGCUGAACACAUAGGCUGGGAGGAGGUAAGCAGGGGAAGUGAAACAUCUCAGUACCCUGAGGAAAAGAAAUCAAAAGAGAUUCCCUGAGUAGUGGCGAACGAAAGGGGAACAGCCCAAACCCUGUAGGCUUAGUGGCUCUGGGGCCUAUGCUUAUGGGGGGUUGUAAGUCAGGCAGGACUUUAGCCCAGUCUAAGGUCGAGGAGUUACAAACCAAACUCUAGUUGAAGGUCUCUGGAAGGGGCAACCAUAGAGGGUGAGAGUCCCGUAAGCGAAAGGGGUAAGCUCCUUGCCUGUACUUGAGUACCACGGGACACGAGAAAUCCUGUGGGAAUCUGCCCUGACCACAGGGCAAGGCUAAAUACCCUUGAUGACCGAUAGUGAACCAGUACCGUGAGGGAAAGGUGAAAAGAACCCCGGGAGGGGAGUGAAAUAGAAUCUGAAACCAUGUGCUUACAAGCAGUCGGAGGAGCUCUUCGGAGCUCUGACGGCGUGCCUAUUGAAGAAUGAGCCGGUGAGUUAAUCUGUGUGGCUGGUUAAGUCAUUUAAAUGACGGAGCCGUAGCGAAAGCGAGUCCUAAUAGGGCGACUUUGUUGCACGGAUUAGACCCGAAGCCGGGUGAGCUACCCAUGGCCAGGGUGAAGCUUCGAUAAAAUCGAAGUGGAGGCCCGAACUGGUCAGUGAUGCAAAACUGUCAGAUGAGCUGUG